RNAcentral lists this unclassified non-coding RNA (1244 nucleotides) under Hevea brasiliensis (rubber tree). The record is from RNAcentral. Lineage: Eukaryota; Viridiplantae; Streptophyta; Magnoliopsida; Malpighiales; Euphorbiaceae.
GCCAUUUGUAAAGGCAUUAAUGCCAAUCUGUACAGUGGUUUAGGGAUCAGCACUUGCUAUCCAUAAACAAAAAAUGAGAGCAGAGAUGCCAUUGUUGCUAAUACAUGACAUUUCUAUUCUAAUCCUAUAAGAAUAUAAUGUACAUGUAUGUGCAAACACUAUUCCUUGCUCCCCCUUUAAGAUAAAGAGGACGAAACAAACUAUCUUCUGGUGUAAUGGCAAAGAAACUGUACCAUGCAGAUUAUUUGAGGUUGGCGUAUAUUGCAAUUUCAAAUUCAGUCUGUUUCAUAUCUGUAACUCUGAUAGAACUACUGCAUAACACCUGAAGUUACUCUGUUCAAAUGAUGCAGAUGGAAAGGAGCCUGUCUCCUCUAAACGAAACAUUUGCUGAAGUCAUGGCUGAAUUUUCUGCAUGUCAGAAUAUUUGAAGGUGCAAAUCAGAGAUCAACAUUGACAAACAGCAACUGUCAAUUGCAUGUCUCUGCUCAUUGAAUGUAGAUCUAUCCUGUUGCAGACAACUUAGAUUUCACAUUUCGAGGAGCACUAGUUUUGCGAAGUUGAGGAUUUUCUAUAGAGUACACAAGAAGGAUUCCAUCUUUGGUCCCAGCUAAAAAGCAUUCUUCUGGGGUUACUGUUAGACAUGUUAUUACCUUUCCAACUCCAUUAUACUUUUUGACAAUAUCAAGCGUAUUCAUAGAGCGUACAGUUAUCUGUCCCUGAUCACCAGCACAAACCAGAAACUCACCACAACCACUGAGUUCAACACAGUUCAGGCGACCAUUAGAUUCAGAAGUAGCAAGAUGUUUUCCAUUAAUAGAAUAUAAAUGCAGACUAAGAUCAUCAUCAGCAUAAAAUACUAUCCGUCCGUGCCGAGAGGCCACAAGCUUUGACAAUGCACUGCCAGAAGGAUGACGUAAAGAUCUUAUGUAUCUUCCUUCCCUAAGGGUAUGGAAAACACAAGUUCCAUCUUUUGAACCACUGAUAACUAUAUCAAGCUCCGCACUAACAUAUAAGCAUGUUAUUAUAUCAUCAUGCCCGCUGAGAAUAUGGAAAGGAGUUUCAGCAAUGACAUACUCUUUACGAGGUAGUUCAGUCUGAGUGUUUCGAACUCUCUUUUCAGUGCCUCGGACACGGAGAACUUCCCACACCAUGACUGUAGUAUCAUAACUUCCAGUUGCAAGUAUGCUACCAUCAGCUGUCACUGCCACACAGCUGACCACAUCUUUAUGCUGUCGAAUACUCUG